AUGCUUACCUGGCAGCGGAGAUACCAUGAUCAAGGAGGUGGUUUUCCCAGGGCGAGGCCCAUCCAUUGUACUUGGGGUGUGCUGACCCCUGAGAUUUCCCCAAAUUCGGGAAACUUGAGUGCAUAAUUUGUAGUAGUGGGAGACUUUGUUCACACUCUCCCC
Small nuclear RNA from Cricetulus griseus (Chinese hamster), 162 nucleotides. Its record names the gene U1. It matches the Rfam family "U1 spliceosomal RNA". Rfam says of the family: U1 is a small nuclear RNA (snRNA) component of the spliceosome (involved in pre-mRNA splicing). Its 5' end forms complementary base pairs with the 5' splice junction, thus defining the 5' donor site of an intron. Lineage: Eukaryota; Metazoa; Chordata; Mammalia; Rodentia; Cricetidae. The record is from Ensembl.